GUCUGAGAGGACGACCGGCCACACUGGGACUGAGACACGGCCCAGACUCCUACGGGAGGCAGCAGUGGGGAAUAUUGCACAAUGGGCGCAAGCCUGAUGCAGCAACGCCGCGUGAGGGACGACGGCCUUCGGGUUGUAAACCUCUUUUAGCAAGGAAGAAGCGAAAGUGACGGUACUUGCAGAAAAAGCGCCGGCUAACUACGUGCCAGCAGCCGCGGUAAUACGUAGGGCGCAAGCGUUAUCCGGAAUUAUUGGGCGUAAAGAGCUCGUAGGCGGUUUGUCGCGUCUGCUGUGAAAACCCGAGGCUCAACCUCGGGCCUGCAGUGGGUACGGGCAGACUAGAGUGCGGUAGGGGAGAUUGGAAUUCCUGGUGUAGCGGUGGAAUGCGCAGAUAUCAGGAGGAACACCGAUGGCGAAGGCAGAUCUCUGGGCCGUAACUGACGUUGAGGAGCGAAAGGGUGGGGAGCAAACAGGCUUAAAUACCCUGGUAGUCCACCCCGUAAACGUUGGGAACUAGUUGUGGGGUCCAUUCCACGGAUUCCGUGACGCAGCUAACGCAUUAAGUUCCCCGCCUGGGGAGUACGGCCGCAAGGCUAAAACUCAAAGGAAUUGACGG
RNAcentral lists this ribosomal RNA (616 nucleotides) under uncultured bacterium. Its description in RNAcentral is "bacterial SSU rRNA". It matches the Rfam family "Bacterial small subunit ribosomal RNA", at positions 290 to 916 of the family's 1533-position model. The record is from RNAcentral.